RNAcentral lists this ribosomal RNA (397 nucleotides) under uncultured bacterium. RNAcentral's name for it is "partial 16S ribosomal RNA". It matches the Rfam family "Bacterial small subunit ribosomal RNA", at positions 523 to 918 of the family's 1533-position model. The record is from RNAcentral.
AUACGUAGGGGGCGAGCGUUGUCCGGAAUGAUUGGGCGUAAAGGGCGCGUAGGCGGCUUUGCAAGUCAGUAGUGGAAGUCCAUUUUUCAAGGAUGGAAGUGCUACAGAAACUGCGGAGCUUGAGUGCAGGAGAGGUUAUCGGAAUUCCCGGUGUAGCGGUGAAAUGCGUAGAGAUCGGGAGGAACACCAGUGGCGAAGGCGGGUAACUGGACUGCAACUGACGCUGAGGCGCGAAAGUGUGGGGAGCAAACAGGAUUAGAUACCCUGGUAGUCCACACUGUAAACGAUGAAUGCUAGGUGUAGGAGGUAUCGACCCCUUCUGUGCCGCAGUAAACACAGUAAGCAUUCCGCCUGGGGAGUGCGGUCGCAAGAUUAAAACUUAAAGGAAUUGACGGGG